GCUUGUCUCAAAGAUUAAGCCAUGCAUGUCUAAGUAUAAACUGCUUUAUACUGUGAAACUGCGAAUGGCUCAUUAAAUCAGUUAUCGUUUAUUUGAUAGUACCUUUACCUGGAUAACCGUGGUAAUUCUAGAGCUAAUACAUGCUAAAAAUCCCGACUUCGGAAGGGAUGUAUUUAUUAGAUAAAAAACCAAUGCCCUUCGGGGCUCCUUGGUGAUUCAUAAUAACUUAACGAAUCGCAUGGCCUUGCGCCGGCGAUGGUUCAUUCAAAUUUCUGCCCUAUCAACUUUCGAUGGUAGGAUAGUGGCCUACCAUGGUCUCAACGGGUAACGGGGAAUUAGGGUUCUAUUCCGGAGAGGGAGCCUGAGAAACGGCUACCACAUCCAAGGAAGGCAGCAGG
This 398-nucleotide ribosomal RNA is filed under the name Knufia perforans. Its description in RNAcentral is "partial small subunit ribosomal RNA". It matches the Rfam family "Eukaryotic small subunit ribosomal RNA", at positions 30 to 432 of the family's 1831-position model. Lineage: Eukaryota; Fungi; Ascomycota; Eurotiomycetes; Chaetothyriales; Trichomeriaceae. The record is from RNAcentral.